GAACAUAACAUGUUGGCUUUACAUACAGAGCAGGGCUGAGAAAUGUACAAACAAGUCUUCAGCCUGGGCCCCAUUCCCAGGUGUGGCUCCCUCUGCUGAGCUGAGGACGCCCUUCAGACCCAGGUUGCUACCUCCCUGAGACCCAGGAGGCAGAAGUAAGGAGGCACUACAUGGACAACCCUGCAUGGGAUUCCCACGGCUGACAGAAGUAUUGAUUUUGGGAGUAGAGCACAGCAGCCUGGGCUUGAUUGUCACUUUGGCAGCUACAGCAUUCACUGCAGCUGUGAACGGUAGCAGUGAAAGCAUACAUCAAUGACUUGCUCCUGACGAGAAUGGGAAUGCUUCUAACAUUUCACAUUCAAGAGAAGGAGCCUUGGAGAAUUCGUUGAAUAAUUGCCCGUAUUUUGGGAUUAUUUGGAAGAGUUAAUAUGGUGAUUCGUUUUCCCUGACCACUUGGGGGAACUGACCCACAAAACUGCCUGCCUUAGAACGGUAGAGGGUGGAUUGAGCUUUAAAUACAUUUUCAGUUUGUGGACGUACCAUUGGUUUUAUCCAUUCACCAAUUGGAAAAAGUAUUGAUUGUCAAUUUCAAAUAA
Molecule: long non-coding RNA, 596 nt
Organism: Homo sapiens (human)
Lineage: Eukaryota; Metazoa; Chordata; Mammalia; Primates; Hominidae
Gene: MAGEA8-AS1
Product: MAGEA8 antisense RNA 1
Exons: 5
Source: RefSeq, marked validated